UACGGGAGGCAGCAGUAGGGAACCUUCCGCAAUGGACGAAAGUCUGACGGAGCAACGCCGCGUGAGUGAUGAAGGUUUUCGGAUCGUAAAGCUCUGUUGUUAGGGAAGAACAAGUACCGUUCGAAUAGGGCGGCACCUUGACGGUACCUAACCAGAAAGCCACGGCUAACUACGUGCCAGCAGCCGCGGUAAU
This 193-nucleotide ribosomal RNA is filed under the name uncultured Bacillus sp. Its description in RNAcentral is "partial 16S ribosomal RNA". It matches the Rfam family "Bacterial small subunit ribosomal RNA", at positions 340 to 524 of the family's 1533-position model. Lineage: Bacteria; Bacillati; Bacillota; Bacilli; Caryophanales; Bacillaceae. The record is from RNAcentral.